AAUAAUUUUAAGUAAAAUAUUAUAAUGGGGGUUAAAGUAUUUUAUAAAGAAAUAAAUUAUUUAAUUUAUAGAGAAUUAGUAUUGUGGGGGAAAUUUGAAAUAUGUGAAAAUUUAAUUAUUUUAUAAGUAGAUUUAAUUUAUUGUAUCUUGGGUAUCAGAGUUUAUUAAUAAAAAUUUUUAUUUAAAUAAUUUUCGAAUUUAAAAGAGUUAAAUAAUUAUAAAAUUUAUUGUGGCAAAAAUAUUUUUAAUAAUUAUUUAGAAAUGAAAUGUUAAUCGUUUUUAAAUUUAUCUAAUUUUUUUAGAAAAAAAUUUAAUUUUAAAUUAAUUAAAUUAAAAAUUUUAAUAAUAAAUUUUUUGGGGGUUAAAUUUAAUAUUUUAAGGGAUAAGCUUUAAAUUAAAUUUUUAUAAUGAAAAUAUUUAAGUGUAUUUGAAAAUUUUAAAAUUUAUAUUGUUUAGAAAUUUUAUUUUUUUAUAAAUAAUUUCAAUUUAAUUAAAAUUUAAUAUUAUUUAUUUAAUUUUUUAUAAAAAAAUAAAAUUUAAUAAAAAAUUUUUAGUUAUAAUGAUAAAAUUAGUAUAAUAUUAUAUAUAUAUAUAUAUAUAUAUAUAUAUAUGUUAAAAAUUAUUAUAAUUUAUUUUUAAAGUUAAUUAUAAGGAAUUCGGCAAAAUUUUACAUUCACUUGUUUAUCAAAAACAUGUCUUUUUGGUUAAUAAUUUAAAGUCUAAUCUGCCCACUGAUUUUAAUUAAAGGGCUGCAGUAUUUUGACUGUACAAAGGUAGCAUAAUCAUUAGUCUCUUAAAUGGUGACUUGUAUGAAAGAUUGGAUGAAAUGUAAGCUGUCUUAUUUUUAAUGUUAGAAUUUAAUUUUUUAGUUAAAAAGCUAAAUUUUAUAUAAAAGACGAGAAGACCCUAUAGAGUUUAAUAUAAGUAAUUAAUUAAAAAUUUUUUUAUUAAUAUUAAAUUUAAAUUAAUUUUUAUAUUUUGUUGGGGUGAUAAAAAAAUAAAAUUAACUUUUUUUAAAUUAAUAUUUAUAUAUAUAUAUAUAUAUAUAUAAAUAUGAUAACAUUAAUAAGUGAGUAUUUGAUCCAUAAUUUAUGAUUAAAAGAUUAAAUUACCUUAGGGAUAACAGCGUAAUUUUUUUUUUUAGUUCGAAUAAAAAAAAAAGUUUGCGACCUCGAUGUUGGAUUAAGAUAAAAUUUAAAUGCAAAAGUUUAAAAUUUUGAUCUGUUCGAUCAUUAAAAUCUUACAUGAUCUGAGUUCAAACCGGUGUGAGCCAGGUUGGUUUCUAUCUUUAUAGAAUUAAAAUAUUUUAGUACGAAAGGAUCAGAUAUUUUAAAUAAUUUAAUUAAUUAGUAUAUU
Molecule: ribosomal RNA, 1356 nt
Filed under: Ancylis sativa
Lineage: Eukaryota; Metazoa; Arthropoda; Insecta; Lepidoptera; Tortricidae
Description: 16S ribosomal RNA
Source: RNAcentral